Molecule: long non-coding RNA, 140 nt
Organism: Myiozetetes cayanensis
Lineage: Eukaryota; Metazoa; Chordata; Aves; Passeriformes; Tyrannidae
Exons: 3
Source: RefSeq, a predicted model, not a curated record
CACAGGUGAUGACACACCAAGCACAGGUGAUGAGAACACACCAAGCACAGGUGAGAACACACCAAGCACAGGUGAUGACACACCAAGCACAGGUGAUGACACACCAAGGACAGGUGAGAACACACCAAGGACAGGUGAUG